RNAcentral lists this ribosomal RNA (480 nucleotides) under uncultured bacterium. RNAcentral's name for it is "partial 16S ribosomal RNA". It matches the Rfam family "Bacterial small subunit ribosomal RNA", at positions 28 to 507 of the family's 1533-position model. The record is from RNAcentral.
GACGAGCGCUGGCGGCGCGCCUAACACAUGCAAGUCGAGCGAUGAAAUUUUAACCGAUCUCUUCGGAGAGAAGAUAAAAUGGAUUAGCGGCGGACGGGUGAGUAACACGUGAGAAACCUGCCUUUCACAAGGGGAUAGCCUCGGGAAACCGGGAUUAAUACCCUAUGACACAUUUCCUUCGCAUGGAAGAAAUGUUAAAACUCCGGUGGUGAAAGAUGGUCUCGCGCCUGAUUAGCUAGUUGGUGGGGUAACGGCCCACCAAGGCCAUGAUCAGUAACCGGCCUGAGAGGGUGAACGGUCACAUUGGAACUGAGACACGGUCCAAACUCCUACGGGAGGCAGCAGUGGGGAAUAUUGCACAAUGGAGGAAACUCUGAUGCAGCGACGCCGCGUGAGCGAUGAAGGCUUUCGAGUCGUAAAGCUCUGUCCUAUGGGAAGAUAAUGACGGUACCAUAGGAGGAAGCCCCGGCUAACUACGUG